This 492-nucleotide ribosomal RNA is filed under the name Triticum aestivum (bread wheat). Its description in RNAcentral is "partial small subunit ribosomal RNA". The record is from RNAcentral. Lineage: Eukaryota; Viridiplantae; Streptophyta; Magnoliopsida; Poales; Poaceae.
AUGCAAACUUAUGAGGAAGGUCACAAAAAAGAUGGUUCGUUUAUGUUUGAGCAUUGCUGGGAGAUUCUUAAAAAGGAACCAAAAUGGGACGCAUAUUUGGAACGCCUAGAAGAUCUGGAGCCGGACAAGAGGAAGUUUAGUGUUGAUGAUGAAGUAGGGAAGCAUUCCACUAUAGAUGAUGAUGAUGAUGAAGAUGAACGUCCAUCGGGUGGCAAGCAAGCUAAGGAGAAGCAGAAACGAAAAGGAAAGGAUGAAGUUUGUAUAAUAGAUCUUGAAGAUGAGCUUCAAAAGUUUGUAGAUGCCCAGAAUGCAGCAAAUGAAGGCCGCAAAGAGAUGUUAGAGACCCAAAGGCGUGUUUCUGCUGAGAAUCUUGAAGCACGGAAGCUUGCUCACCUUGCGGCAAAAGAUCACAAAGAGUCGGUCAUGCUAGAAACAUAUCGCUCAUUGGUGAUGCAAGACACAACCGGGAUGCCUGAAGAUGUGAGAUCUUAG